CAAGGUAAGCGGAUAGUUGCUUUUAAUUUUUAGAUUAGAAGAGGAAAGUCCGGACUCCUGUUAAUUUUUAUUAACAAAGUGGUAGUGGGUAACGCCCACCAAGAGCAAUCUUAGGGAAAGUGCCGCAGAGACUAUACUAACCAGUGCAUUGUGCUGGCCAAAGGUGAAAAGUGAAUUGAGGUUUUUCGUUCUCGAGAUGAAAGGCUACAAUUCUCGGCUGUUGGCGACAACAGUUCGUGGUAAACCCUGCCUGGAGCAAGAACAAACCAUCUCUUUCAAGGGGUGAUGAAAAGUGGUUCGCAUGAGCUUGGCGGCAACACCAAGCCAAGAUAAAUAACUAUCGUUCCGCAAGGGAUACAGAAUCCGGCUUAUAGCUUGCCUUGAUAU
RNAcentral lists this RNase P RNA (387 nucleotides) under Candidatus Falkowbacteria bacterium RIFOXYB2_FULL_34_18. RNAcentral describes it as "RNase P RNA component class A". It matches the Rfam family "Bacterial RNase P class A". From Rfam's summary of the family: Ribonuclease P (RNase P) is a ubiquitous endoribonuclease, found in archaea, bacteria and eukarya as well as chloroplasts and mitochondria. Its best characterised activity is the generation of mature 5'-ends of tRNAs by cleaving the 5'-leader elements of precursor-tRNAs. Cellular RNase Ps are ribonucleoproteins. RNAcentral also lists the same sequence under 4 other names. The record is from RNAcentral. Lineage: Bacteria; Candidatus Falkowiibacteriota.